This 427-nucleotide ribosomal RNA is filed under the name uncultured bacterium. RNAcentral describes it as "bacterial SSU rRNA". It matches the Rfam family "Bacterial small subunit ribosomal RNA", at positions 355 to 774 of the family's 1533-position model. The record is from RNAcentral. RNAcentral also lists the same sequence under 2 other names.
UGGGGAAUAUUGCACAAUGGGCGCAAGCCUGAUGCAGCCAUGCCGCGUGUAUGAAGAAGGCCCUAGGGUUGUAAAGUACUUUCAGUCGGGAGGAAGGCGUUGAUGCUAAUAUCAUCAACGAUUGACGUUACCGACAGAAGAAGCACCGGCUAACUCCGUGCCAGCAGCCGCGGUAAUACGGAGGGUGCAAGCGUUAAUCGGAAUUACUGGGCGUAAAGCGCACGCAGGCGGUUGAUUAAGUUAGAUGUGAAAUCCCCGGGCUUAACCUGGGAAUGGCAUCUAAGACUGGUCAGCUAGAGUCUUGUAGAGGGGGGUAGAAUUCCAUGUGUAGCGGUGAAAUGCGUAGAGAUGUGGAGGAAUACCGGUGGCGAAGGCGGCCCCCUGGACAAAGACUGACGCUCAGGUGCGAAAGCGUGGGGAGCAAACA